Molecule: long non-coding RNA, 3557 nt
Filed under: Paramuricea clavata
Lineage: Eukaryota; Metazoa; Cnidaria; Anthozoa; Malacalcyonacea; Plexauridae
Source: RNAcentral
GCUCCGCGUCCACUAUUUUCGGGCGAUUUACCACUGACCACAUAAUAUUUUUGAAAGCCACCUGUUUUCGCACCCCCCUGGAUGCAAAAAGUAUACACUGUGUAAUUAUUAAACUAUCAAGUUUCACAACUUUAUAUUUUGUCAACAUGCCGCGUUAAUAUUGCUCGGUUUAUGGUUGUCACAACUCCUUUGACAAAGACGGAUUGUAUUCACACUGUCACUGGUAAGGAAAUAUUAUUUUGUGCUUAGAUAUCAUUCGAGAAGUUUUUUCUGUAGUUUAUGUUUUGUUCACGUGCAUGUGUCACAUACCAGCUUUUCUCGACUAUGGCCUCCUUUCUGAUGUUUUUGCAUGCAGUUUGUUUCAUUCAAAUAUUAUAUUUCCAUUGUUCCUUGUGAUGUUCUCGUGUGCGUUUUUCCUACCUACUGUACAGUGUAUUUUAUAGGCCUGUUUGUAUUUAUGAAAGCAUAUUGUUAUUGAAUUUUUUUCCCUUCACAUAUUUAAGUAUUCCUGAUGCAAAGAAGCAUCCAGAGUUGUACAGCAUAUGGGUUGAGUAUAUGAAUAAACAUGCGACAGUGAAGUCUGUUCCUGCGAAAAGUAGUCGUUUGUGUUCAGAUCUCUUUAGUGCUGAUAUGUAUGAGAUAAAGGGCAAAAGCCAGAAAUUAGUAUUGAGACCGGAUGCUAAUACCAACAAUAGUUACACAAAGGUUUGCUCAGGUCAUUGGUGCGAUUUAAAGUGUUAAAGUGUUAUAUGUAACAGUGUGCUAAGGGACAAGUCAUUAUUAAUGCCGGGUAGGGGGCUGGAGGAAAUUUUUAUGAAUUGCAAAAAUUUUUCAUGACCCGGCCCUUAUUUUUCUAACAAACUAUUUUAUCCCCCCCCCUUAUUGAGGCAACAUAUUUCAUAGCCCCCCCUCCACCCCAAUUCUGAAUUCAAUUACUCUAAGUCAGUUUCGUAACCAUUUUUCCUGCCCUCAUACUCAGUUUACUAGCAGAUGUAAAGAAUAUUGUAAAUAUUGAAAAUAAAGAAUAUUGUAAAUAUUGAAAAUGAUAGCCAAGUAGAUAAUUCAGACUUUAUACCUGAAAAGUUGUUGGUCCUCAAACAAAAAACCCACAAAUCAGACCUACUUUUACUAAUUGAAAAAAAUACAUUUGUGUCUGGUGGAAGCAUUACUGUAUAUUGAAGAGAUGGCAGAAGAGACUGUCAACAACAUGCAGAAACAGAACAUGCAAAAGAGGUCCACUGUGUUAAAAGCAGGACAACAACUGUCAACUGAAUCUUGCAUUUGCAAAUGCAGUGCAUGACCCUUUAGACAAAUUCUUUGGUGAUGAUGAGGAUGACAAUUUCCAUAUACAGUGCCUAGAACACAACUUUUAGGUUCAAUAUAUUGGGCAUUACUGUUCAAUGUAUGUAUACUGUAUAUAUCCAUCACUCUUUUGAUAUUGCAUGUUACAAACUAUAGAUUUUAUUUUUUGCCCCCCCCCCUUUAUGUUCAAAAUAUUUUCUCCCCCCCCCCUUCACUGGUCAAAAUUUUUUUGUGGCCCCUCUAUAUUAAAAUUUAUUGUACAUUUACUAGGAAUGGUAUGCUGGAUGUGUUUUAAAAGAGGGCAUACAAAAAUUGUGUGCCCAAAUAGAGCAAAAACCCACUCAGACAAUUGUUCAAGAACAACAUAAUUGGCACAAUUGCCAUGAUAAUUCACUAAGUAACUUUGUGUAUGUUAUAAUGUGUGAAUGUUGUGUGAGUGUUGUGUGUUAAUUUUAAUUUAUUUAUUAGGCCAUUAAUAAAUAUGCUUGGUUUGAAAAAUAUUUUAGGGGGGGAUGUCCCCACUGCUGGUGCCACCACUGGAAAUAUCAGCUAAUUAUAGCCAGCAUAGCUUCAAUAAAAUAUAUUGAAGUAAAUAUGACAUCAAAUACUCUUUUAUUAAAAGCGAUAGCUAUGUGCGUGUUUCACUUGUAUCAUUUGGGACAACCCGAGAAUACCCUUAUGGAAUUAACAAAAUAAAACGUGGGUAUGAAACCAAGAAUACUUAUUGAUGGCCUGUAAUAGUAAUAUAAUAAUAUUGUAUAUAUUUUUAAAUUAAACUUUUUAAAUGUUGAAUAAAUCUAAUUUGUAAUGAAAAUUAAUAAUGCACAUAAGAAUAUGUUUAAUAAAAUAAUAUAUAAUUAUUGUUUGGUGUGCUAGAUCCUUAAUUAACUAAUCCUUUGCCUGGUCAAACAAUAUGAUUCUAUUGCCAUGAAUUGCCAUCGAAUAUAACAAUGAUUCCAGCCGGACAAACGUAGAGCCAUAUACAUUUGGGUAUUUAUUAGUGCAGAUUUACUUUCCCCAUAAUGUGCACAGAGUACAUUGUGAGUAGACAUGAUCAACAAUGUGCAGUUUCCAUAAUCUGAAAAAUACAAACAGCAGUAAAUAUUUAGAUGAUACAUGCAUAAACCGACAUAAGUUUCGUUUCAACAAAGCAUGGCUGUGUUCACAAAUUUAUACAUUAAAAUUAUAUGUAUAGUAGAAAUGCAAAAGGAACAACAUACUUUUUAUACAAUUUGAAAGAGAAUUAUGCACAUAUGAACGGCCUGUCCGGGGGGUACACCCUGGGACAACUGGGGGGGGAAACAAGGGGGAAUUUGGUAUUUUAUCUGUGUGUUCUUCCUGUGAACCCCGGGGAGAUUAGGGAGUGGUCAUUAUUUAUGGGGAGUGGGGGGUGUUGGGAUAUGGGGAAAAUAAGGAUUGAAAACUUUUUUGACCCCCCUCCAGACUGAAGGCAAACUUGUUGUGUCUCCCCCCUCAUAAAAGUAGAAACUUUUCUGACCCCCACCCCCCAGUGUGGAUUGAAAAAUUAACAGCAAUGAAACAGGUGUGCAUUGCAUGUAAAGUUAGAUAUUAGGACAAUCUGUUUAAUCUAGCUCAUGAUGUUUUACCCUGGUGAAUAUGAUUCAACCAUAUGUGAUUAAAAAUAUAUAUUAUGUGUUACUACUUUGCAAUGCAACAUUUGUCCCACCAUAACCCUAACCCAUGACCCAUCUUCAUACAGCAAAAUGAUUUGAACACAGCGUUUUUUUAAGAACUUGUCUGGGCACCAACCAUGGUAGUGCCUCGCAAUCAUGGGAGUCGGGCACACAAAGUUUAACAAGCUUGCUACCCCCUGAGUGACCCAGUUGUGUUAUUUACAUAAACAUACCAUGCAAAUACACUUAACUGAUCAGAUUCGGUCUAUCAACACACAAUGUAACGUUGUAUAUCCAAAAAUCUGUUUCAGAAAAUGCUUACAUUUCAGUUCUAGGGGUGGAAAAAUACAAAACAUUUUCUGGGGGAGAAUCCCCGGACCCCCCUACUAGUACAUACAAUACCGCACCAAACUUUUUGUCACCAACAACCAUCUGUCAUCUCUCCGCACUCAAUAUAGUAUGGUCCCUUUUUGUAGAUGUCCACCCCAGAGCAGGGAAAUUUUGAGUAUCUAGAUUGUUGGAAAUAGCAUUUUCAGAGUCUUCUUUUUUGCUAUUUGUGAUUAUAGAAAUCAGAACUCUAGACAUCGUAUUUAAGUUCAAAAACUUUUAUGACCCCCCCCC